Gallus gallus (chicken) is the source of this 717-nucleotide long non-coding RNA. NCBI's taxonomy places the organism in Eukaryota, Metazoa, Chordata, Aves, Galliformes, Phasianidae. The record is from Ensembl.
CCCAGGCCAUUCUGUGAUUCUGCACCAAGUGCCUCUCACAGUGCAGACACCCAGCCCCAGCAAAAGGGAUAUGUGCAAUGCAGCAUAAUCUCCCUUGCAGGAUUCUCACAGGGAAUCCCUAAUUCAGGAUUUCAAGUCUGCAUUAUGCAACUCGGAGUGUGCAAGCAGCUACAGGUGAAGGAUUGGAAGGGGUCUGUAAUGCCUGCUCAGCCCCUCAGAACCCAGACUUUCAUCGACCACCAUCUCCCUCCCCUCCAGCCAAGUGAAAUCCUCUGGAUCUCAGCCGGGCUUCAGAUGGAGGAGCUGAGAGAACAGCAUCAACUCAGCCCAGAGCUCCAUAAAGGUCAGCUCCUUGAAAUAUGUGGAACACGCAGAGCCUAAGGCCAGGAGUGGUGCAGAGCUGGAAUCCCAGGGGCACGCCACAACCUCACUGAGGCUACAGAGACCUGGUUAUAAGGUUUCCUGAUUACCUUUAACAUAGUUUAUUUUUCAAAAUAAAAGGUGAUAGAGAGACUUGGCAACUAUUUCAUAACCCCUUUUUCACCCACACACUGAUGCUUCAGGUAGAAUGAGGUCCAGGUACAGAUAAGCCUUCUAAGAGAAGACUAAGCAGCUAUGAAAGCUGUUAGCCAAGAAAUGAGCUUUGCAGCAUCAGUGCUCCAUGGGUGCACAUGUGCCCUGCUGCUUAAAUCCAAGGAAUAAGAUGGCAAAAAGGGA